GGCCGCGGGUUGGGAGAGGGCCGAGCAUCCUUGGGAACGCACGCCCUGGACCUGAGAUGGGUGGAUGCUCCGGAGCUAGGCGAAAGCUGGAAGGGACCCGGGAAGGGAUGGAACCCCAGGUUACACCGCUUCCCUCAUUCACGUGCAAGGCGCUGACAGUUGACUCUGGUGGGGCAGAUGUCAGCCUGCAACAAAGGUCCGGAGUGCGAGGGGUCCUAGAGUGGCCAGGCGGGUUGGGGGAGGGAGGCCGGCGGAACGUGCUGUUACGCGCAGGUAGAUGCUCUUGCAGAUCCUGUGAUUCCAGAGCUAAGGAGGCACGACGUCCAGCAGAGGUCUUCUCCACAGCACCUGCCCAAUCUUGCCAUCACCUUCCCUGUUCAGAUGGCAUGUUUUUGGCGGGUAGUGAGAGUUUCUCCUUAGACAAAAUCACUUCAGAUUUGAAUCUGGAAUGUCUGUAAACUUCCUGCAAGAAAGACCCUUGCCCAGUCUGGAACUUGAGCAGAUUAAGCUCUCUCCUCCCCUUCUUGUGCCACCUUGUCCUCCUCUCUUGGCCUCUUCUGCUGCAUCUCUGCCACCUUCUCUUCUCCUUUUCUUCCUUCUUUCCCAGGCAAAAGUGAACCACUCCCCUGAUCCUUCCCCACAGUGUUCCAAUGCAUCUCGCAUUGGCUUCUUCACGUUCAGAUCGGUUUUCCAGAUCACCUCCUGGCUUGACUGCUCCUUGACCCCAUCGGGACUUCCCCAUGCGUAUCCUGCUAUGAAAUACAAAACCUGCUGAAGCAAAAAGGACUGGAGGAGCCAAGAUUCCAGACAGGCAAGAAUGUGGCUGCCAAGCUAAUGUGGAGUGAAACGUGCCCAGGAUAACCAAGUCAAUCUUGGAUUUGAAGAAUAAAUUUCUAGGAUAUACACUACUGGAUGCAAAACUUAUUAUAAAUCUAUAGUAAUUAAGACAAUGUGAUAUUUGCACAAGGAUAGAAAAAAGACAAAGGAGUAAGAUAGAGUUCAGAAAUUAACACACAUGGAUUGUCACUUGACUCAUGCCAGAACUGUCAGUGAACAGCAGUGAAAAAUCCCAACAGCAAGAUGAAGACUGUGUGAGUGAAAUGCCUUUCCUUUGUGAAGUUGGAAAAGGGGGAAAAUUUGAAAGGGGAGUAGGGAAGGAAAUUAUGCUCUUAUAUCACAAAUAUGUUGUUGAGAAAAUAAACUUCACAGAAAAAAACAUAUUUGGAUGUUGAUCAUUUGAAAAGUGACUUCUUUAAACUGAAUGGUACCCUUGGAAAGUCAGUGUGUGCCACCACGAUGAUCUCACGUGGGGACUGCUGGUUUGUAAUGGAGAUUCAGGAACCUUUGUCAGAUCUCAAUCACUAAACUGAUUGUUGAGUAAAUGGAUGUUCUUAUUUUACUCUUUUUAACUUAUG
Molecule: long non-coding RNA, 1415 nt
Organism: Symphalangus syndactylus (siamang)
Lineage: Eukaryota; Metazoa; Chordata; Mammalia; Primates; Hylobatidae
Source: RefSeq, a predicted model, not a curated record